Molecule: ribosomal RNA, 492 nt
Filed under: uncultured bacterium
Lineage: Bacteria
Description: partial 16S ribosomal RNA
Rfam family: Bacterial small subunit ribosomal RNA
Source: RNAcentral
AGUGAACGCUGGCGGUAGGCCUAACACAUGCAAGUCGAACGGCAGCACAGUAAGAGCUUGCUCUUACGGGUGGCGAGUGGCGGACGGGUGAGGAAUACAUCGGAAUCUACUUUUUCGUGGGGGAUAACGUAGGGAAACUUACGCUAAUACCGCAUACGACCUACGGGUGAAAGCAGGGGAUCUUCGGACCUUGCGCGAUUGAAUGAGCCGAUGUCGGAUUAGCUAGUUGGCGGGGUAAAGGCCCACCAAGGCGACGAUCCGUAGCUGGUCUGAGAGGAUGAACAGCCACACUGGAACUGAGACACGGUCCAAACUCCUACGGGAGGCAGCAGUGGGGAAUAUUGGACAAUGGGCGCAAGCCUGAUCCAGCCAUACCGCGUGGGUGAAGAAGGCCUUCGGGUUGUAAAGCCCUUUUGUUGGGAAAGAAAAGCAGCAGGUUAAUACCCCGCUGUUCUGACGGUACCCAAAGAAUAAGCACCGGCUAACUUCGUG